Non-coding RNA from Anolis sagrei ordinatus, 312 nucleotides. The record is from RefSeq and is a predicted model, not a curated record. NCBI's taxonomy places the organism in Eukaryota, Metazoa, Chordata, Lepidosauria, Squamata, Anolidae.
CUUCUUUUCUUCUGCUUGUUAUAAUUUAAUUCACGGGUGUUUUAGUGAGCACCCUUGAUCUGUUGCUAACAUUAUGCUGUUUUCUCUCCUUCUCUAGCACCCCAGAAGAAAUUGAGGAGUCCUCCUCCGAGGAUCUGGAUUUGGAGACUUGGCAUUUCUGUAUGGUAUCAGCGCCGCAGCCAUGCCCGGAUGCCAGGCGUGAGGACCCCCUUCGCGUGGAGUCCUAUGAAUCCUGGGUCACCAUUGAUAAUCUAUCGGAAGACGGGAGCAUGGACAUACUAUGGAGCCAGCUGUCCCAGGGAGAGAAGUAAC